Molecule: long non-coding RNA, 783 nt
Filed under: Nicotiana benthamiana
Lineage: Eukaryota; Viridiplantae; Streptophyta; Magnoliopsida; Solanales; Solanaceae
Description: long non-coding RNA (NBEN_LNC003016)
Source: RNAcentral
UUUUAUCCUCAAAAUUUGUAUCUUUGAUGUUUCAAAACAGGGAGUCAUUUAAUGAUGCACAAACGAAAUCAGAAGAAUGACAACUCGAAACUAGAGAAUCAGACACACUUUAAUUCAUUCCAAUUAUGACGAAGAGACUCGCCAAAAGAAAACUCAUGGGGUGACAAUAACCAACACCCAGAAAUCACAAAGAGAAAAUCAAACAAUUUUAAAUGGAUCCAUCUAUGGCUUUGAUUCACAAUACACAUAAGAGUAGAAGGAAGAAAUGAACCUGCUGCGUCUUUAAUAAAUUUUGCUCGCAAUCAAAUUCAACUAAAUCCGGCAGUGAAAAUCCACGACAAACAACCACAAAGAAAUAAGAACUAACAAUCACGAACGGCACCGCAAAUCUCAGGCGGACUCGCACACAGACCCAAAGUUCAUUCAAACUCCAUUUUUCAAAUCAAAAUCGAGAUUCAAAAGAAGAAAUAGAAGAAGUAAAAGAGAUAUCUAUAUUAUUUUUUCUGGAAUUUCAAAAGAACCAUAAAUUAAAAAAUACUUCAAGAAUUCUUAAACCCUAUUGUUUUUUUUCCCCAGAUUUCUACUCCGAAAAUCCCCAUUUUUCAUUCUAAAAGCUCCCUUAGAUAGACCACCUAGAAACUUCCUCUUCUUCUCCAAGAAAUCCACCAAAAACGCAACUUUCAUUCUCCAGUUUCUUUGUAAAAAAAACACGGAUUAAUGGGAGUCAUGGAUUCGGUUUUAACCUAAUCCAACCGCUCCCAUUUAUCCAAAACUCAUCUCAAU